Molecule: unclassified non-coding RNA, 343 nt
Filed under: soil metagenome
Description: partial contains 5.8S ribosomal RNA, internal transcribed spacer 2, and large subunit ribosomal RNA
Rfam family: 5.8S ribosomal RNA (bases 1-120)
Source: RNAcentral
GAUGAAGAACGCAGCGAAAUGCGAUACGUAAUGUGAAUUGCAGAAUUCAGUGAAUCAUCGAAUCUUUGAACGCACAUUGCGCCCGCUAGUAUUCUGGCGGGCAUGCCUGUCCGAGCGUCAUUUCAACCCUCAAGCCCCCGGGCUUGGUGUUGGGGAUCGGCGAGCCUCCGCGCCCGCCGUCCCCUAAAUCUAGUGGCGGUCUCGCUGUAGCUUCCUCUGCGUAGUAGCACACCUCGCACUGGGAAACAGCGCGGCCACGCCGUUAAACCCCCAACUUCUGAACGUUUGACCUCGGAUCAGGUAGGAAUACCCGCUGAACUUAAGCAUAUCAAUAAGCGGAGGA